GUUCUGUAAGCCGAUGAAGGUGUAUUGAGAAGUAUGCUGGAGGUAUCAGAAGUGCGAAUGCUGACGUGAGUAACGACAAAACGGGUGAAAAACCCGUUCGCCGAAAGACCAAGGGUUCCAGUCCAACGUUAAUCGGGGCUGGGUGAGUCGACCCCUAAGGCGAGGCCGAAAGGCGUAGUCGAUGGGAAAAUGGUUAAUAUUCCAUUACUUCUGUGUAAUGCGAUGAGAGGACGGAGAAGGCUAAAUCAGCCUGGCGUUGGUUGUCCAGGUGAAAGGAUGUAGGCAUGUAUCUUAGGCAAAUCCGGGGUACUCUAUGCUGAGAUCUGAUAGCAAGCUGUACUUGUACAGCGAAGUGGUUGAUGCCAUGCU
Molecule: ribosomal RNA, 369 nt
Filed under: Pseudomonas aeruginosa
Lineage: Bacteria; Pseudomonadati; Pseudomonadota; Gammaproteobacteria; Pseudomonadales; Pseudomonadaceae
Description: partial 23S ribosomal RNA
Rfam family: Bacterial large subunit ribosomal RNA
Source: RNAcentral